This is a long non-coding RNA of Orcinus orca (killer whale), 2763 nucleotides long. RefSeq lists it as uncharacterized. The record is from RefSeq and is a predicted model, not a curated record. NCBI's taxonomy places the organism in Eukaryota, Metazoa, Chordata, Mammalia, Artiodactyla, Delphinidae. The transcript is spliced from 3 exons.
GGCGGGGACUCUGAGUGCCGGCCCCCCGGCAGCACCGCCCAGGGCUCCUCCCCCUCUUCUUAGGGCUGGGUGUCAGGCUCCGGGUCCUCCAUUCAAGGUCAGGGUCGGCCCCUUCCUCCAGCCCCUGCGGAGAGCAGAGAGCAGACAGCCGCCCCCAGGGGCCGGCCGGGCAGGGUCCCCGUCCCCUCGGGGCGCACGGAGCGUUCAGGUGGCGCCUGCAGGCGCUCAAGUUCCAGCACUAAAGCAGUGACGACGCUGAUUUUCCAAGUUUUAAUGAUGGGCAAUCUGCAUACCGAUCGGCUCAUCUGCGCGCCCGCGGCUUCGAACAACACAGGAAACCGGCAUAAAGAGGGCCGUGCUGUGAUGACAAUGGCUUCCCAGUGUGCUGACCUCCGUAAACGCAGCAAACAAAAGUACAGUCCUCUUUGGCUGCGACACUAACGAGUCAUUACGAACGGGCACAGCUGCUCGUGCAAGCACUUUGUUAAAAAUAUUCUUCUCAUUUUGUGUCUGUCCCCAAUUAUAGCGGAGCCAUUGUGCCAGCCAGCCAGCGAGCGCAAGCAGAAGAAUAUUUACGUUCUGUGGUCUCGGCCGGUUUGCGGAGCGCACUGUCAAGUGUAGCCGCCUCGCCGUGUGGUGCCUGUUGACGCCUCCUCCCCCUGACAUUCUCAGUUUUCCACCCGCCCUGUGCCCGCGUUAGGAUGACAGAGCUGGGAAGCCCUUGACGGUCACCUGCGGACGUCUCUGUCUGCACGAGGAGGCGGACCGACUUGGGGCUGCGUCAGGAGCGCUUGGGUCAAGCCUGUGUGGGAGCAGCUCCCGCGGGCACCGGGGGCCCGACAGUCGUGAAAGGAACGGGCAGCCGGGGGAACCCAGCGGUGUGGGGUGACGGCACGUCCCCACCUGUCACAGAACCUUCGACACCCCAGCACCCAGAGGAUGCCGUCCUUGGUCGGCGCCUCAAAACUCAAAGUUUCUUGCAGGAAAGCAGCUGGAAGCAGUAGCUUCUUCGUGACGAGGUCAGGCAGGGUGACCUCCAGACCCAGGCUGGGCUGGGCCGCCCCCCUGGUAACUCUGGGCCCGGCCUGGGCCACGUCCUGCUCUCAGGGGAGCCGCAUGGGCCCUGUGCUGACUCUCCAGGGCCUGCUCGUCCGGCCUGGGAGCUGGGCCGGGGGUCUGUCGGGACCCCUGUCCUCGAGCUCGCCCUUGGUGACCUCUGAGGGGGGCAGGAAGGGGAGGGGGGAGCAGGGGGCCCGGGUUGCAGCCUCCUGCCAGGAAGAGGGGGUCGGGGGGCCCCGCCCCUGUCUGCACCUGCGGCCUCCUCGGCCAGCGAGUCACAUCCCAGCAAGGGGGGCGCGUCCACUGUCCCCUUCCUCAACUCAGAGGUCAGGACACAGCAGCCGGAGCCAGGUGGGGCCUGCUUGGGUGGGAUUCGAACCAGCCGCCUGUAAAAGACAUUCUGAGACCUGGGGGGAGGCCUGAGUGUGGGCCAGUACUAGCCCUGCACGGGAGUUUUGUUAAUUUCGUUAGUGUUUCAAUGACACUGUAGGUAUGUAAGAGAAAAAUGCCUUUAUCUUAGCAAGAAGGCGUUUGCAUAAAAUCAUAAGACAUCUUGGACGAUGCUAAAAUGCUCCAGUAAAAACUAAAGUGUGUGUGUGUGUGUGUGUGUGUGUGUGUGUGUGUGUAAAACAAGAUGGCAAAACGUAUACGAUUGAAACCGGGUGAUGGAGUUCCCACGAUUCCCCCACUUUUGGGUGAGCUAGGAAUUUUCCAUAAUUAAAAGUUAAAAUAUAUAAUGUAUGCUACUCUCCCAUGGAGUAUUGGAUCUGAAAAAAGCUUCAAUUAUAGAACAACACUUCAACUUGCUCCAUUCCCCCAGCAAUAAACGGUAAAUCUGGGGAGGCAUGAAGGGGAGGGACCCCAGGAGAAGGCCAUGGCCCGCCUGACUCAGCCCGGGGAGGCACCCGUUUUCUCCCACCCACAGCAACGCCCCGUGACUGUACCCGUGGUCAUGUUUAUCGGCUGGAACUCAGCUCCCUGCCCGCAGCAAAGCAGCAGGACGAAGACGGCCACUCCUGUAUUAGCCGCCAUGUUCCUCCAGCUGCGGAAGGAGGACGCUCUCCUGAGGUCCCCUCAGAUUCUCCCGCGUGGUCUCCAGGACACUGUGGAAUGUCCAGGGUGUGAGACCUCACGGCAGGAAGCGAACAGCGUCCUGCCUGUGUGGGUGGCAGAGACAGGAAGAUGCGGGAGACCCCUGGGGCCUUGGGGGACGGGGAUCCCCUCUCCUUACUUCUGUUGCCCCUUCCCGUCCUCCCUCGGUCCUGCAGACCCUGAGACCUGGCAGAACCCAACAAAGCCAGCUUCGGGGAAAAGAGGCGCAUUGGGAAAAGGCUGGGAGCUCACUGAGUUACAGAGCAGGGAGCAUGUUGGGGUCCGUGUCCCAUUUGAGUUAAUUAAUGGUCCGAUGACACACAGACCAGUGGUCUGGACACUUUCCACUCAAGUGCGGUCCUUUGACCAGCAGCCUCAAAUGGAAAACAGCACCAUGAAGGGUUGUAGAACUUCGACCCACAGUCUGCAGUGACCAGCCCGGGCAGGGAAACCGGUGUCCGUGGUGACCAUCCAGGAGCAAAGAGUGCCAAGCACAGGAACCGUCCAGCCUCUAGGUGCUGAUUUUCUUAAGAUAACACCACAGCCUUGAAACAGCUGGGUCUGCUGUCUCUUUUCACCCUGAAAUCACACAUCCCAACACCCGUUUGUCAG